RNAcentral lists this ribosomal RNA (453 nucleotides) under uncultured Anaerolineaceae bacterium. Its description in RNAcentral is "bacterial SSU rRNA". It matches the Rfam family "Bacterial small subunit ribosomal RNA", at positions 916 to 1382 of the family's 1533-position model. Lineage: Bacteria; Bacillati; Chloroflexota; Anaerolineae; Anaerolineales; Anaerolineaceae. The record is from RNAcentral.
GGGCCCCGCACAAGCAGCGGAGCGUGUGGUUUAAUUCGAUGCUACACGAAGAACCUUACCAGGGUUUGACAUACAAGUAGUAGGGAAAGGAAACUGGACCGACCCUUCGGGGAGCUUGUACAGGUGCUGCAUGGCUGUCGUCAGCUCGUGUCGUGAGAUGUUCGGUUAAGUCCGCUAACGAGCGCAACCCUCGCUGUGUGUUACAAGUGUCACACGGAACUGCCGGUCAUAAACCGGAGGAAGGUGGGAUGACGUCAAGUCAGCAUGGCCUUUAUAUCCUGGGCUACACACACGCUACAAUGGGAAGGGACAAUAGGUUGCGAAGCCGCGAGGUGGAGCCAAUCCAUAAAGUUGGUCUCAGUUCAGAUUGUAGGCUGCAACCCGCCUGCAUGAAGAUGGAGUUGCUAGUAACCGCAGGUCAGCUAUACUGCGGUGAAUACGUUCCCGGGGCUU